RNAcentral lists this long non-coding RNA (365 nucleotides) under Mytilus galloprovincialis (Mediterranean mussel). The record is from RNAcentral. Lineage: Eukaryota; Metazoa; Mollusca; Bivalvia; Mytilida; Mytilidae.
CAACUACAUUAACAUUGAGUACUUAGAGGCAAAUACGUAAUUCUUAUGAUUAUGGAUGAUGUUCAUUCUAAAAUUAAUAUUUUCAUUUUUCCUUUCGUAUUCGUUUCAAAAUUGACAAAAACCUUCUUUCCAAUGCGAAAACAUAAGUUAAUGUUCAUCAAAAUUCGUUUCCUAUGCCAAGUUCCAUGUUAGGUUGGCAGAAAUUUCACACAUAAAUUACCGGUUAUUUUAAUAAAGUGCAGUUGCUUUAUAACUUAUAUUAAUAAGUUAAAACUGUCAAGUUGAAAAUCUGCCCUUUUGAAUAAAAAGAUAGAUUAAUAUGUUUGCAUUUGUUAUUAGAAAAACAAGUUGUAUUUUUAUCACAA